UACGUAGGGCGCAAGCGUUAUCCGGAAUUAUUGGGCGUAAAGAGCUCGUAGGCGGUUUGUCGCGUCUGCCGUGAAAGUCCGGGGCUCAACUCCGGAUCUGCGGUGGGUACGGGCAGACUAGAGUGAUGUAGGGGAGAGUGGAAUUCCUGGUGUAGCGGUGAAAUGCGCAGAUAUCAGGAGGAACACCGGUGGCGAAGGCGGGUCUCUGGGCAACAACUGACGCUGAGGAGCGAAAGCGUGGGGAGCGAACAGG
Molecule: ribosomal RNA, 253 nt
Filed under: uncultured bacterium
Lineage: Bacteria
Description: partial 16S ribosomal RNA
Rfam family: Bacterial small subunit ribosomal RNA
Source: RNAcentral